GAUGAACGCUGGCGGCGUGCCUAAUACAUGCAAGUCGAGCGAACGGACGAGAAGCUUGCUUCUCUGAUGUUAGCGGCGGACGGGUGAGUAACACGUGGGUAACCUACCUAUAAGACUGGGAUAACUUCGGGAAACCGGAGCUAAUACCGGAUGAUAUUUUGAACCGCAUGGUUCAAAAGUGAAAGACGGUCUUGCUGUCACUUGUAGAUGGAUCCGCGCUGCAUUAGCUAGUUGGUAAGGUAACGGCUUACCAAGGCAACGAUGCAUAGCCGACCUGAGAGGGUGAUCGGCCACACUGGAACUGAGACACGGUCCAGACUCCUACGGGAGGCAGCAGUAGGGAAUCUUCCGCAAUGGGCGAAAGCCUGACGGAGCAACGCCGCGUGAGUGAUGAAGGUCUUCGGAUCGUAAAACUCUGUUAUUAGGGAAGAACAUAUGUGUAAGUAACUGUGCACAUCUUGACGGUACCUAAUCAGAAAGCCACGGCUAACUACGUG
RNAcentral lists this ribosomal RNA (497 nucleotides) under uncultured bacterium. Its description in RNAcentral is "partial 16S ribosomal RNA". It matches the Rfam family "Bacterial small subunit ribosomal RNA", at positions 28 to 507 of the family's 1533-position model. The record is from RNAcentral.